This is a long non-coding RNA of Rana temporaria (common frog), 391 nucleotides long. RefSeq lists it as uncharacterized. The record is from RefSeq and is a predicted model, not a curated record. Lineage: Eukaryota; Metazoa; Chordata; Amphibia; Anura; Ranidae. The transcript has 3 exons.
UACUAAUCGGGCCUUUGAUUUUAUCCUGCUUCCAGCUGGAGCCACAAUCAAGAACAGUGUGCCAUUUCUUCAGAGCAGUGUGUUGUGACCGUUGGCUCCCGUGUGCAUGCGUGGGAGUGAUGUCAUCGCGGCUCCCACCAGUCACAGAGCCGGAGUCGUGAACCCGGAAGGAAGACCGGGUAUAGGUGGAUGCCGUUUUCAGAAGACGUCAACAUACGGCGAAACACGUAGCAUGAGCGACGUGCUGACGUCACUGCAAUCAUGUAAUCCCUGGAAGGAAUGGUUUCUGUUUAUGUGAUGGCUGGUGCUUUUGUUUUUAAGGUGAUUUAGACACUGACACAAUGUAAGUGUAACCUUUAAAGACGUUUACAAUAAAGUAAUAACAAUUGUA